GCCGGUGAUGACUUGUAUUGGUUGCUGAACAGGCACAUUGAUUGCCUGGACUCUGUUGACAUUUCGCAUGAACUAGGACAGUCUGAGGC
Non-coding RNA from Triticum urartu, 89 nucleotides. NCBI's taxonomy places the organism in Eukaryota, Viridiplantae, Streptophyta, Magnoliopsida, Poales, Poaceae. The record is from Rfam.